GGGAUAGCCAUGCGAGUCAACAUAGCAAUAUGUGGCAUACGGCUCAGUAACACGUAGUCAACAUGCCCAGGGGACGUGGAUAACCUCGGGAAACUGAGGAUAAACCGCGAUAGGUCAUCACUUCUGGAAUGGGUAACGACUUAAACCUAUAUGGCCCCUGGAUUGGACUGCGGCCGAUCAGGCUGUUGGUGAGGUAAUGGCCCACCAAACCUGUAACCGGUACGGGCUCUGAGAGGAGGAGCCCGGAGAUGGGCACUGAGACAAGGGCCCAGGCCCUAUGGGGCGCAGCAGGCGCGAAACCUCUGCAAUAGGCGAAAGCUUGACAGGGUUACUCUGAGUGAUUUCCGUUAAGGAGAUCUUUUGGCACCUCUAAAAAUGGUGCAGAAUAAGGGGUGGGCAAGUCUGGUGUCAGCCGCCGCGGUAAUACCAGCACCCCGAGUGGUCGGGACGUUUAUUGGGCCUAAAGCAUCCGUAGCCGGUUCUACAAGUCUUCCGUUAAAUCCACCUGCUUAACAGAUGGGCCGCGGAAGAUACUAUAGAGCUAGGAGGCGGGAGAGGCAAGCGGUACUCGAUGGGUAGGGGUAAAAUCCGUUGAUCCAUUGAAGACCACCAGUGGCGAAGGCGGCUUGCCAGAACGCGCUCGACGGUGAGGGAUGAAAGCUGGGGGAGCAAACCGGAUUAGAUACCCGGGUAGUCCCAGCUGUAAACGAUGCAGACUCGGUGAUGAGUUGGCUUAUUGCUAACUCAGUGCCGCAGGGAAGCCGUUAAGUUUGCCGCCUGGGGAGUACGGUCGCAAGACUGAAACUUAAAGGAAUUGGCGGGGGAGCACCACAAGGGGUGGAGCCUGCGGUUCAAUUGGAGUCAACGCCGGAAAUCUUACCGGGGGCGACAGCAGAGUGAAGGUCAAGCUGAAGACUUUACCAGACAAGCUGAGAGGAGGUGC
RNAcentral lists this ribosomal RNA (943 nucleotides) under uncultured archaeon. RNAcentral's name for it is "bacterial SSU rRNA". It matches the Rfam family "Archaeal small subunit ribosomal RNA", at positions 42 to 993 of the family's 1478-position model. The record is from RNAcentral.